GCGCUCCAUACGCUCAGCCUCAUGGUGAAGCCCCGCCCCCCCAUGCAUCACAGCCACUCACCUCCCAUUAGAAAGCUGUCGGCAACAAGUACGAGAAUUAAAAUCUCUCCUUUCCUCAUUCCUCGGCCGUGUUUCAUUUCCUGUAACUUAUUGGAAGGAAAUAAUGAGAAUGUCUUUUCUUGUAAACACCAGAUCUCUGAUUGGUUCCCCGUGGCGCUGUAGCUCCUCCCUGAAGGCUGCUGGUGUUUAUGGGUUCAGCUUAAAAACACAACCGAGAACAAAAGAUGUCGACUGUCUGUCUGCUGGAGCUCAACCGCCUCAUCGUGUCAUCAGGAGCCGAGCAGCUGACACACAAGCCAGGCCUCGCUGUCGUCUCAGCGGGUAUCCAAGGCCGAGAUGUGCAGACUCUCGGAAAAAUAUACGUCCACGGCGUUUACCUGUCAGAGGCCCAGUGAAGUUCCCCAGGACGGAGCCUUGAGGGACCCCAGGAUGGAGCCUUGAGGGACCCCAGGACGGAGCCUUGAGGGACCCCAGGAUGGAGCCUUGAGGGACACCAGGACGAAGCCUUGAGGGACCCCAGGACGGAGCCUUGAGGGAUCCCAGGAUGGAGCCUUGAGGGACCCCAGGACGGAGCCUUGAGGGACCCCAGGAUGGAGCCUUGAGGGACCCCAGGACGGAGCCUUGAGGGACCCCAGGAUGGAGCCUUGAGGGACCCCAGGACGGAGCCUUGAGGGACCCCAGGAUGGAGCCUUGAGGGACCCCAGGACGGAGCCUUGACGGACCCCAGGACAAGCUCGGUGUGGGUCAAACAAACAGGACUUUCACCCUGGAGCCCGGUUGACUCAUUUAAAUUCACUCAUUCUAGGUUAAAUAAUAUAACGAGCAAGUACAUGUGUUGCCUGAACCCCU
Long non-coding RNA from Pseudoliparis swirei, 909 nucleotides. RefSeq lists it as uncharacterized. The record is from RefSeq and is a predicted model, not a curated record. Lineage: Eukaryota; Metazoa; Chordata; Actinopteri; Perciformes; Liparidae. The transcript has 3 exons.